GGGAAACCGGAGCUAAUACCGGAUAAUAUAUUGAACCGCAUGGUUCAAUAGUGAAAGACGGUUUUGCUGUCACUUAUAGAUGGAUCCGCGCCGCAUUAGCUAGUUGGUAAGGUAACGGCUUACCAAGGCGACGAUGCGUAGCCGAACUGAGAGGGUGAUCGGCCACACUGGAACUGAGACACGGUCCAG
Molecule: ribosomal RNA, 189 nt
Filed under: uncultured Staphylococcus sp.
Lineage: Bacteria; Bacillati; Bacillota; Bacilli; Caryophanales; Staphylococcaceae
Description: partial 16S ribosomal RNA
Rfam family: Bacterial small subunit ribosomal RNA
Source: RNAcentral